Molecule: ribosomal RNA, 429 nt
Filed under: Acidobacteriota bacterium
Lineage: Bacteria; Pseudomonadati; Acidobacteriota
Description: Acidobacteria bacterium partial 16S ribosomal RNA
Rfam family: Bacterial small subunit ribosomal RNA
Source: RNAcentral
UGGGGAAUUUUGGACAAUGGGGGAAACCCUGAUCCAGCCAUCCCGCGUGUGCGAUGAAGGCCUUCGGGUUGUAAAGCACUUUUGGCAGGAAAGAAACGUCAUGGGUUAAUACCCCGUGAAACUGACGGUACCUGCAGAAUAAGCACCGGCUAACUACGUGCCAGCAGCCGCGGUAAUACGUAGGGUGCAAGCGUUAAUCGGAAUUACUGGGCGUAAAGCGUGCGCAGGCGGUUCGGAAAGAAAGAUGUGAAAUCCCAGAGCUCAACUUUGGAACUGCAUUUUUAACGCCCGGGCUCGAGUGUGUCAGAGGGAGGUGGAAUUCCGCGUGUAGCAGUGAACUGCGUAGAUAUGCGGAGGAACACCGAUAGCGAAGGCAGCCGCCUGGGAUAACACUGACGCUCAUGCACGAAAGCGUGGGGAGCAAACAGG